Molecule: ribosomal RNA, 429 nt
Filed under: uncultured bacterium
Lineage: Bacteria
Description: partial 16S ribosomal RNA
Rfam family: Bacterial small subunit ribosomal RNA
Source: RNAcentral
AACGCUGGCGGCAGGCUUAACCCAUGCAAGUCGAACGCACCUUUCGGGGUGAGUGGCAGCCGGGUGAGUAACGCGUGGGAAUCUACCCUUCUCUACGGGAUAGCUCCGGGAAACUGGAAUUAAUACCGUAUACGUCCUGAGGGAGAAAGAUUUAUCGGGGAAGGAUGAGCCCGCGUUGGAUUAGCUAGUUGGUGGGGUAAAGGCCUACCAAGGCGACGAUCCAUAGCUGGUCUAAGAGGAUGAUCAGCCACAUUGGGACUGAGACACGGCCCAAACUCCUACGGGAGGCAGCAGUGGGGAAUAUUGGACAAUGGGCGCAAGCCUGAUCCAGCCAUGCCGCGUGAGUGAUGAAGGCCCUAGGGUUGUAAAGCUCUUUCAGUGGGGACGAUAAUGACGGUACCCACAGAAGAAGCCCCGGCUAACUUCGUG